GAUCCCGCCUCGGCGGGGGCGGCCCCGGACGGGGCGGGACGUGGCCGAGGGCGGGCGGAGCGUGUGCGGGGCCAUGGCGGAGGCGCGGCGGGGAGCGGAGCCGCUGUGGCGGACGCCGCCGGGCCGCCUGGCCCCGCCGCACGUCUACCGCAUGGCGGAGGCGCUGGGCGCCGAGCUCCGCCGCCUCUCCGGCCGCUUCGGGCCCGAGGCGGUGGCCGGGCUGGUGCCGCCCGUCGUGCGGCUGCUGGAGCUGCUGGAGGCGCUGGUGGCCCCGGCGGGCGCCGAGGGGGAGGCGGCGGCGGCGGCGGCGGGCGGGCGGCAGGACGCGGAGGACCCCGAGCAGAGGCUGUGGGAGGCCGAGCGCCGGGAGCGAGCCCUGCACGGCUGCCUGGCCCGCCUGGAGGAGCAGAACCGGCAGCUCCUGUUGCAGCUCGCGGAGAGCCAGUCCCAGGAAGACAGCACGGCGCGGAAGGAGCGGGAGGUGAUGCUGCGGCUGAAGGAGGUGGUGGACAAGCAGCGGGAUGAGCUUCGUGCCCAAGCCCACGAAAUUGUCUGCAAGAGCCGAGACACGGAGGCGCUGCAGGAGCAACUGCAUCGCUUCAUGGCCAUGAACGAGGACCUGCGUCACAAGGUGGCCAUAGUGCAGGCUCAGCUCAAGAGCGCGCUGGAGAGGAAGUCAGACCUGGAGGCCGCAAUGCUGCAAACCCAGAGGGAAAUGAGCAGGAGGAGCAGGGCCAAUUCUGAGACCCAGCGGCCAAAGUCCAGCCUGGAAGGAGAUCUGUCACCCACAGAGGAGCCGCAGCACCAGGACGUGGAUGCGGGCAGGAGCCCUGCUCACUGCUGCUUCUCCAAGGAAGAGCUGCAGGAGAUCCUGCAAGAGCGGAACGAGCUCAAGACCAACCUGUUCUUGGUGCAGGAGGAACUGGCCUAUUACCAGCGGGAGCUGCUGAACGAAGAGCGAGUCCCCGGCUUCUUCUUGGACGCGAUGAAGUCGACUAUCAAAAGACAGCGAAAAAAAAUCAGAGCCAAAAUGCUGGGAACGGAGGAGGAGUCGGCGAGCAGAGAUCAAAGGUUUAUUGUCACCAGUGGAUGUCUCGCUCUGGCUUAGCCCUGGGAGCGCCGCAGGGGCUGGGCUCUUCUCUGCUGCCGCUCACGUGUCCCUGUCACCAGUCACAGACAGCCCGGCCAAAUGUCCCUCGUCCCUGCGUGGAUGUGGCAAAAGCGGGGUGAGGUGGUGGCACGGGGACCACCGGACGGGGCAGGCUGGUCCCCGCGCUGUGCGGUUGGAGGCUGUCCAACGGAGAGCCUGUGAAGAUGACAGUAGAGAUGUUCCCCGGAGGCUCUGCAAGAUGUUCAUGGGCAGCGUUGGCUCCAAGAGACUUAUCACGAUGGGGAAGGGAGGACCCUGCCGGGCAGCAGCGAUGGCUCUCCGUGUCUGCUGGGGGGUGGGGGGGCGAAGCCUGGACUAAAGCUGCUCUAUGGCACGGCGGGAGCUGGAUCUCACUGGCUUUUAGGGGCUUUAAUAAAGGUCUGAAGGGGGCUGGGCUCUUCUGGGCCACUGAAACCUGCUGCUUGCUUGCAUCGGGGUCUCUGCUGGCAGCGGGGGGGGUCUGGGGGUGUUGGGUCCCGCCUGCCGAGCAUAGCCGCUGCCGUGUGAACACUGCCCUGCGGUCACCUCUCGUGCAUCACCCUGCUCCCCUGCGAGGCCUGGCUGUCACCUGCCUCUGCCCUGAGCCGCAGCCGGCGGUUCCAGUUGUCAGGCUGUUCCCCUGGAGAAGCCCGUGCCUGCCGUGCGGGGUGAGACGCUUAAAGGCUUUGCUGCUGCGGCAACCGGGGCUGCAGCAUCCGCUGAGCAAGCGCCGGGGGUUUGAAGCCGGUGUCUGAAGCGCCUUGUGGCUUGAGAUCGCCGAGCCGGGGCUGGGCUUGCCGUGAAACGCGGCUGCGUCUGGGACACGAGCGUCGCUGCGGCUGGCUGUGGCUUUGUGGUGCAUCACAGCCCGAUGGCGCUUUGCGGGGACAGCAGCUCCGGUCCGUGUGGCCCCGGCUUCGCAGCUGCCUCCGCACGUGCAGCUCUGCGGGGACGCCGCUCAGCUCGGGAGGGAGUCCCAGGGUGGCUCUGGCACUUGCUCGUGGCGAGCCCACGACUCAGCACGGGUUUUCCCUCCCCGCUCCUUUGCGCUGCAGCGAUGAAGACGAGGGCUCCUGGCACCCAGCUCGUGGCGCAGACUGCGUGGAUGCUCAGCCUCCCGAAUCCAAAAUUAAGAGCUUUUUCGGGCUGUGGUAUCAGGGCGGCAGCAAAGAAUCCCCCGCAUCCAGCUGCUCCGGAGCCUGGGA
This is an RNA transcript of Chroicocephalus ridibundus (black-headed gull), 2334 nucleotides long. It is a transcript of the gene named Rab interacting lysosomal protein, with no coding region annotated. Lineage: Eukaryota; Metazoa; Chordata; Aves; Charadriiformes; Laridae. The record is from RefSeq and is a predicted model, not a curated record. The transcript is spliced from 8 exons.